This 625-nucleotide ribosomal RNA is filed under the name uncultured archaeon. Its description in RNAcentral is "bacterial SSU rRNA". It matches the Rfam family "Archaeal small subunit ribosomal RNA", at positions 6 to 646 of the family's 1478-position model. The record is from RNAcentral.
GGUUGAUCCUGCCGGACCUGACUGCUAUCUGAUUGGUACUAAGCCAUGCGAGUCGUUGUACAAUACAAGGCGGACUGCUCAGUAACACGUAGUUAACUUAACCUAUGGAUGGGAAUAACCUCGGGAAACUGAGAAUAAUACCCAAUGGGCCACAGUGCCUGGAAUGGCCUGUGGUUGAAAUGAUUUAUCGCCGUAGGAUAGGACUGCGGCCUAUCAGCUUGUUGGUGAGGUAAUGGCCCACCAAGGCUAUAACAGGUACGGGCUCUGAGAGGAGGGGCCCGGAGAUGGGUACUGAGACACGGACCCAGGCCCUAUGGGGCGCAGCAGGCGAGAAACCUUUGCAAUGUGCGAAAGCACGACAAGGUUAAUCCGAGUGUCUCCUGCUAAAGGAGUCUUUUGUCAGUUGUAGAAUCACUGGUGAAUAAGGGGUGGGCAAGUUCUGGUGUCAGCCGCCGCGGUAAAACCAGCACCUCGAGUGGUCAGGAGGUUUAUUGGGCCUAAAGCAUCCGUAGCCGGUUGCAUAAGUUUCCGGUUAAUCUAUGCGCUUAACGUAUAGGCCGCCGAAAAUACUGUGCAGUUGGGAGUGGAGAGGUCCCGGACUCAUCGACGGUUAAUCCUUUGUCUU